Molecule: long non-coding RNA, 1208 nt
Organism: Saimiri boliviensis boliviensis (Bolivian squirrel monkey)
Lineage: Eukaryota; Metazoa; Chordata; Mammalia; Primates; Cebidae
Source: RefSeq, a predicted model, not a curated record
CCGGGGGCAGCAGCGCUGAUCCGUGCGCAGGAGGGGCGGGGGCGGGGCCGGCCCGUAGCCGGAAGGAGAACCACGUUUGUCAUCUUCAAUCUCCUAGUAGCUACGUUUUUUUCAAGGUAACAGGUAACAGCCAAAGUUCCCUAGUUAACAGUACGUUUGAUUCGACCCCAUAGAUACAUCAUUCAACGUGUAACUGGCGUCGGACCUGAUCCGUGAGAUUCCUUCACAGGGAGACCGUGCACGGGCACCUGCCUCUGGCGGCUGCUCACAGGCCGCGUUUCCAGCGCUCAGCAGCCCCGUGUGGCCCGUGGCCACCGUGCAGACGGAGCAGCCGCUCCGGGGGUUUUCUGGACACAGAGUGGGGGUGGCCGGGGCCCUGGCAAUUGGCCCCAGCAAGGCCAGCCUCCAGCUUCUGAGUAAACCGCCAAGGCAGUGCCCAGUGGAGUCCAAAGGGGCAUUUUCUGUUUAGGAACACACCCGCUGGCGGGGCGGGGCCGAGGGAUGGUGAUGCAGGCUGGGGCUCAGCACCUCCAGGGCUCUUCCUCACAGCUGCCACUGAGCCUGACUCCAGCAAAAUGUCUACUUUAUUCAGGAGGUGCCUGCGGCAGACUGAAUUGUGCCACCCUCAGAAUGCAUGGGUUGAAGCCCUAACCCCCAUGUGAUUAUUCGGAGCUGGGCUGUCGGGGAUAAUUAAUAUGAAGUCGUGCAAUAGGCUUGGUGUUUAAUAGAAAGAGGUCAGUGCUCGCCCCACCCUCACAUGUGCAAAAGAAGCCGCUGUAGGAGUGCGCCGCGGGAAACCACCCCAGCCAGCCACAAACCCCGCACCAGAAACCGACGCUGCUGGAACUUGAUCUUGGACUUCCAGCCCCAGAACCGUAAGAAGUGAAAGUCGUCACUACAGCUUCCCGUCUGCGGUAUUUCAUUGCGGCAGCCAGAGCUGGCUGAUGUGCUCACCACUCCAGGACUUCUCCUUCUCUGACCACCAGCCACCCUCCCUGGAGGACACCUUUGCCCUUGGCUGAGGAAGGAUUUGCAGUCUGGGAUUUUCCCACUGUCAACGUAAAUAACAGAGAGAGACUCUAAAACAAAAUGAGAUUUAUUCGGGAGCGUUCAUUGCAAUCAAAUAUAUGUGCCAUCGUAAAUUGGAUGUGGGUCAAGGAGGGUAAAGGAAGACAAAGGUUUUCAAAAGAUAAACGGAUUACAUCAUU